CGUGAGAUGUUGGGUUAAGUCCCGCAACGAGCGCAACCCUCGCGUCCAAUUGCCAGCAGGUAAAGCUGGGGACUUUGGACGGACUGCCGCCGUAAGGUGUGAGGAAGGUGGGGACGACGUCAAGUCAUCAUGGCCUUUAUGUCCAGGGCUACACACGUGCUACAAUGGUGAGGACAGAGGGCAGCUACUCUGCGAGGAGAUGCGAAUCUCUCAAACCUCAUCCCAGUUCGGAUCGGAGUCUGCAACCCGACUCCG
This 255-nucleotide ribosomal RNA is filed under the name uncultured bacterium. RNAcentral describes it as "partial 16S ribosomal RNA". It matches the Rfam family "Bacterial small subunit ribosomal RNA", at positions 1066 to 1320 of the family's 1533-position model. The record is from RNAcentral.